GGAAUUUUUCCGCAAUGGGCGAAAGCCUGACGGAGCAAUACCGCGUGAGGGAGGAAGGCUCUUGGGUUGUAAACCUCUUUUCUCAGGGAAGAAAAAAAUGACGGUACCUGAGGAAUAAGCAUCGGCUAACUCCGUGCCAGCAGCCGCGGUAAUACGGAGGAUGCAAGCGUUAUCCGGAAUGAUUGGGCGUAAAGCGUCCGCAGGUGGCGAUGAAAGUCUGCUGUUAAAGAGUGAGGCUCAACCUCAUAAAAGCAGUGGAAACUACAUAGCUAGAGUACGUUCGGGGCAGAGGGAAUUCCUGGUGUAGCGGUGAAAUGCGUAGAGAUCAGGAAGAACACCGGUGGCGAAAGCGCUCUGCUAGGCCUGUACUGA
Molecule: ribosomal RNA, 372 nt
Filed under: Aulosira laxa K24
Lineage: Bacteria; Bacillati; Cyanobacteriota; Cyanophyceae; Nostocales; Fortieaceae
Description: bacterial SSU rRNA
Rfam family: Bacterial small subunit ribosomal RNA
Source: RNAcentral